RNAcentral lists this ribosomal RNA (447 nucleotides) under uncultured bacterium. Its description in RNAcentral is "bacterial SSU rRNA". It matches the Rfam family "Bacterial small subunit ribosomal RNA", at positions 330 to 794 of the family's 1533-position model. The record is from RNAcentral.
CCCAGACUCCUACGGGAGGCAGCAGUGGGGAAUAUUGCACAAUGGGGGAAACCCUGAUGCAGCGACGCCGCGUGAGUGAGGAAGUAUUUCGGUAUGUAAAGCUCUAUCAGCAGGGAAGAAAAUGACGGUACCUGAGUAAGAAGCCCCGGCUAACUACGUGCCAGCAGCCGCGGUAAUACGUAGGGGGCAAGCGUUAUCCGGAUUUACUGGGUGUAAAGGGAGCGUAGACGGCCAGACAAGUCUGAAGUGAAAAUCCAGCGCUUAACGUUGGAAGUGCUUUGGAAACUGCCGGGCUAGAGUGCAGGAGGGGCAGGCGGAAUUCCUAGUGUAGCGGUGAAAUGCGUAGAUAUUAGGAGGAACACCAGUGGCGAAGGCGGCCUGCUGGACUGCAACUGACGUUGAGGCUCGAAGGCGUGGGGAGCAAACAGGAUUAGAUGCCCUGGUACA